GUUUGAUCAUGGCUCAGGAUGAACGCUGGCGGCGUGCUUAACACAUGCAAGUCGAACGAGUCCUUCGGGCUAGUGGCGGAUCGGGUGAGUAACGCGUGGGAAUCUGCCCUCAGGAGGGGGAUAACGGCCGGAAACGGCCGCUAAUACCCCAUAUGCCGAGAGGUGAAAUGAAUUUCGCCUGAGGAUGAGCCCGCGUCUGAUUAGCUAGUUGGUGGGGUAAUGGCCCACCAAGGCGACGAUCAGUAGCUGGUCUGAGAGGAUGAUCAGCCACACUGGGACUGAGACACGGCCCAGACUCCUACGGGAGGCAGCAGUGGGGAAUUUUCCGCAAUGGGCGAAAGCCUGACGGAGCAACGCCGCGUGAGGGAUGAAGGCCUCUGGGCUGUAAACCUCUUUUCUCAAGGAAGAAGACAUGACGGUACUUGAGGAAUAAGCCACGGCUAAUUCCGUGCCAGCAGCCGCGGUAAUACGGGAGUGGCAAGCGUUAUCCGGAAUUAUUGGGCGUAAAGCGUCCGCAGGCGGCCUUGUAAGUCUGUCGUUAAAGCGUGGAGCUUAACUCCAUUUCAGCGAUGGAAACUACAAGGCUUGAGUGUGGUAGGGGCAGAGGGAAUUCCCGGUGUAGCGGUGAAAUGCGUAGAUAUCGGGAAGAACACCAGUGGCGAAGGCGCUCUGCUGGGCCAUAACUGACGCUCAUGGACGAAAGCCAGGGGAGCGAAAGGGAUUAGAUACCCCUGUAGUCCUGGCCGUAAACGAUGAACACUAGGUGUCGGGGGAAUMGACCCCCUCGGUGUCGUAGCUAACGCGUUAAGUGUUCCGCCUGGGGAGUACGCACGCAAGUGUGAAACUCAAAGGAAUUGACGGGGGCCCGCACAAGCGGUGGAGUAUGUGGUUUAAUUCGAUGCAACGCGAAGAACCUUACCAGGGUUUGACAUCCUGCGAAUCCCUUGGAAACGARGGAGUGCCUUCGGGAGCCGCAGAGACAGGUGGUGCAUGGCUGUCGUCAGCUCGUGUCGUGAGAUGUUGGGUUAAGUCCCGCAACGAGCGCAACCCACGUCUUUAGUUGCCAGCAUUUCAGUUGGGCACUCUAGAGAGACCGCCGGUGAUAAACCGGAGGAAGGKGUGGAUGACGUCAAGUCAUCAUGCCCCUUACAUCCUGGGCUACACACGUACUACAAUGCUACGGACAAAGGGUUGCAAGCUCGCGAGAGUUAGCUAAUCCCAUAAACCGUGGCUCAGUUCAGAUCGUAGGCUGCAACUCGCCUACGUGAAGGAGGAAUCGCUAGUAAUCGCAGGUCAGCAUACUGCGGUGAAUACGUUCCCGGGCCUUGUACACACCGCCCGUCACACCAUGGAAGUUGGCCAUGCCCGAAGUCGUUACUCCAACCCUUGUGGAGGAGGACGCCGAAGGUGGGGCUGAUGACUGGGGUGAAGUCGUAACAAGGUAGCCGUACCGGAAGGUGCGGCUGGAUCACCUCCUAACAGGGAGACACAACUGAUCGUGAUGUCUGAGCGCCGACCAAGCGUAAGUUUGGGAAGCACAUUCGUCUCAGGCCACGGUCCUGUCAUCUCGAAGGUCGAUCGGUACCUCAAGGUGAGCCAUCAAACCCAAAGAAGAGCUAAAAGUUUCGCAAGGAGCUGGAGGUGAAUCGGAGGAUGUUGUGAUGGACUCGUUUUCAGUUCCUAAACUUUGUCUAGGUCACCCCACAAAGGGUUUACGCGUCUUGUCAAGAUUCAAGCCGAAAAGCAAUGAAUCGAGGGAAGAGGCCAGAAGCUUGUGUCGAAGUGAUUGAUCCUGGGCCAUUAGCUCAGGUKGUUAGAGCGCACCCCUGAUAAGGGUGAGGUCCCUGGUUUCAAGUCCAGGAUGNCCCAUUCGUGUUUGGGGGUUUAGCUCAGUUGGUAGAGCGCCUGCUUUGCAAGCAGGAUGUCAGCGGUUNGAGUCCGCUAACCUCCAUCCAACCAGGUGAAGACCACCAGCAGGAAGCGGCAACAGGAUUCAUUUUGAGCGGUGAGGUGACAAAGACGAUGUUCAGCUGAGGACUCCAGCCUCCUUUCAUUCCCAAGUGAUGACUUACCAAGCAAGGUAAGUGAUCGUCAAGAGUGGUUGAAAGGAAGCUGGACUCGCUGAUUUUGGCGCGAGCCAAGAAUCAGUGACUCUAGCAAAGAACCUUGACAACUGCAUAGGUGAGUCUGGAUAAAGAAAGCAUCUCAUAGAUGCCCAGACGGACGUAAUUCUUGCUUGGUACUGCCAAGUGAGGAGAGUGUCUGGCUNGGAGAUUCUUGAGUUUAGAGCCGAGAGCUUCCAGCGUCUUUUUGCUCCGCCGAGGAGUGAAGAGUUUGAUUCUGCCUUUCAAACCAUCAACAUUA
Molecule: ribosomal RNA, 2364 nt
Filed under: Cyanobium sp. Sai001
Lineage: Bacteria; Bacillati; Cyanobacteriota; Cyanophyceae; Synechococcales; Prochlorococcaceae
Description: bacterial SSU rRNA
Rfam family: Bacterial small subunit ribosomal RNA (bases 1-1479)
Source: RNAcentral